UAGGGAAUAUUGGACAAUGGGGGCAACCCUGAUCCAGCCAUGCCGCGUGAGUGAGGAAGGCCCUCGGGUUGUAAAGCUCUUUUGUCCGGAAAGAAAAGCUUCGGGUUAAUACCCCGGGGUUCUGACGGUACCGGAAGAAUAAGCACCGGCUAACUUCGUGCCAGCAGCCGCGGUAAUACGAAGGGUGCAAGCGUUACUCGGAAUUACUGGGCGUAAAGCGUGCGUAGGUGGUUGUUUAAGUCUGAUGUGAAAGCCCUGGGCUCAACCUGGGAAUGGCAUUGGAAACUGGGCAGCUAGAGUGCGGUAGAGGGUAGUGGAAUUCCCGGUGUAGCAGUGAAAUGCGUAGAGAUCGGGAGGAACAUCUGUGGCGAAGGCGACUGCCUGGACCAGCACUGACACUGAGGCACGAAAGCGUGGGGAGCAAACA
This 427-nucleotide ribosomal RNA is filed under the name uncultured bacterium. RNAcentral describes it as "bacterial SSU rRNA". It matches the Rfam family "Bacterial small subunit ribosomal RNA", at positions 355 to 774 of the family's 1533-position model. The record is from RNAcentral.